UCGACGCGUGGCGACGGCGAUGGGGUCGCGGGGCUGCGUGGCGCUGCGGCUCGGGGUGCUCCUGUGGCGCCGGGCUUUCUCCCCGGGAGCGUGGCCCGCGGCGGCCGCGGGACUCAGGCUUCGGCUGCUGUCCGUGGGGCGGCUUCCGGUGGGACCGACGCUCGGCAAGGUCUGCCCGGCCCCCGACCGAGCGCGCGGCCUGCACGGCGGGCCGGGCCUGGAGGAGCGGGCGGAGGGAACAGCCGGCGAGGGGCGCCCGGAGUCAGGCACCGGAGAUCAUACUGGUCCCAAGUUUGACAUCGAUAUGCUGGUUUCACUUCUGAGGCAAGAAAAUGCCAGAGACAUUUGUGUCAUCAAGGUUCCUCCAGAAAUGAAAUAUACAGAUUACUUUGUAAUUGGUAGUGGAACUUCUACUCGACACUUACAUGCCAUGGCCUACUACAUUGUGAAAAUGUACAAAUACCUGAAACGUAAAAGUGAGCCUCAUGUUAAGAUCGAAGGGAAGGACACAGAUGACUGGCUCUGUGUGGACUUUGGCAGCAUGGUGAUUCAUUUGAUGCUUCCAGAAACCAGAGAAACGUAUGAAUUAGAGAAAUUAUGGACCCUUCGUUCUUAUGAUGACCAGUUAGCUCAGAUAGCACCUGAGACCUUACCUGAAGACUUCAUUCUUGGAAUAGAAGAUGACACUUCAUCUCUGGCUCCUGUGGAGUUUAAAUGUGAAUAAAAUGGGGGUGUUGAAGGUCAGCAGCUGCAGCGGCUCGUGAUUUAAUCUUUGUAGAGGCAGACAGCAAGUGCCAAUGGUAUCUGGAAAAUGAAGCUGCAUUUGGGGCACGUUACAGAUGAGGAAUGAUCCAUAUGUGGUUUUGCUGAAGUACUUGCCGUUUUGCCUCCUUUUCCAAUAACUCUGCCAGCAGCAAAGGAUGGCACUCUGAUGUGAGCUUCAAGUUUCACCUCUUCUUUAGGACUAACAAAGUUUUCUUCUUUAAUUUUUCCAUAAAUUCUUCCCUGAGCCUACAGAUGAGAACAUAUCUCAUCAGUGUCAUUCAUGUAGGAAAUGCAAAAAGGUCCAUUAACUUUAAAGAUGGCCCGGAUCCACUGGAACAGACCUUUGCAGUGAUACAUCUGCAUUUGAUAGAUUGUGGAACGUUGCACAAGAGGUGGAAAAGUAAGGAAGUCCUAGAAAAGGUUGACAACAAUAAUAACUAUACAUCACAGAUGAGGCAAUUGAAUGAUUGAUAAAAUAAGAUUAAACCAUAUUCUUCUGACAAAAACGGUUAAAGGCAAUAAGUUAGCAGUCAGCCGAACUAAAAUUUUUGCAAAUGACCAUUUGCUCUCCAGUCUUGAAAGGUAAAACCUCUCCUGUUGGCAGUAAGAUAGUAACUGCGUUUUUCUUGAGUAAAAGGGACUGCAGAGGAACUACAGAGCCACCUAUGCGAGGCUCACAAGAAGCCAAGCCGCUGUCUAAAUGGGCCAGCAAGGAAUUUUCUAGUUAAACAUUUCUUCAUCUUAGCCAGAUGGUUUCUACUUCGACUAAGGCUACAAAAUCAAGUUAACAUACACAUCUGACAGUUAUAGUCAAACACAUCCUGUCACUUGCUGCAUACAACUAGAAGUUAUACAUAAUAAACCUCUCCUAUUAUGUACAACCAUUAAUUUGCUCUGGUAUACACCAAAGGAAAAAGAAGUCAGAGUUGGUUUCAUCUGACAAGCUGCCACAGCAGAGAACAAAAACCAAAGUACCGAACACGUUUUCACUGGUGCAGAAACGAUAAGCUCAUUUUAGGGGGUUACAGGAAAAAAAAAAAAAAAAAAAAUCCAUCUUAGUACCCUGUCUUCCAUUCAUCCUCAGUCUCAGGCCACAGAUGUAGCUAUCAACACAGUCAAAGGACACAACGGAUAUACAUUGUCCUCCGAAACAAGCUCUUGAAUUCGUAAGAAAAAAUAUGGGUUAGGAGGUUUACUAUUACUUAGAUGUCUAAAAUAAAAUAAUUUAUUUGUUAUUAUCACUGAUCACAUAAAUGACAUUUAAGCAUUAUAGCUUUUCUUAAAUGUCCCAUUUAAGACAACUGAACAAUACAGGCAUAGGAGGAUACAGGGAAACAAACUCUGAAUUCCCCAGCAUACAAGCAUUAUGAAAACUGCAAGAUAGUUAAUUCCAUUUAUAGAAUAAUAAGACCAUAAUUGAUGUUUGUAUUUAUCUUUUAGUAUUUCAAACUAAAAGUGGCUGUCUCUGUAAGUCUGGGAUAGGAAGCAAUUUUCAGCAUCUCUGAGUUUUGAUCUGAACUGCCUGGACCACAAGGCUGGUAUGAGGAAGUAAAUUUCUUGACCCAAGUUUGAGGCUAGCCAACUGUACCCCACAUCUCAAAGCACCUCCUUUUGUUUCCUGUUCUUCCUGUAAAUGAAGUGAAAAAAGCUUCCGAUUUUUAGUGAAAAGUAGAGGUCAAAGAAAGUGAUGGUUUAAAAGGAGGGAAGAAGUGGGCACUUGUUAACUUAGCCACAUUUUAGAGCUAAGAGAAGUAAGGUUAAAGAGUUAUCCUGUUAACACAGCUGCUAAGUGGUAGAAACAAGACAGGAGUUUUGGAUAAAUUGCACUGAAUUGAGUAGCUGCUUUUACCUAUGACAAACAAGACACCCUACUGAGUUUAUGAGAGAAAUCAUACUCAAAGGUAUACGUUUGUGAAUUUGAGGAUCUGGCAGGGUCUUAGUCUGAAUCAUCCCAAGUCUGCUCAGCACCACCACCAGCACAUUUAUGUUGUACUUCCUGUGUCAGGCACUAUUCUAAGCAAUUCAUAUAUUGUUUAAACCUUAUUUAAACUUUGUGGGUGUUUUUAACCCCGAUUUUAUAGAUGAGGAACUAGGCAGAGAAAGGCUAAGUAACUUGCCCAAGGUCACACCACUGGUAAAUGGUAAAGCUGGGCUUUGAACCAGCAACCUGGCUACCAGGUCUCUGCUCUUCAUCACCCUGCUACACCACCUCUCAGGACAUGGUGGGAGGCAUUCCAGCCCCAAAGGCCCCAAACCCCAGUAUGACCAAUGGUUCACACCAGGACAAAUGCUGUAAGAGUUCCUGCCAUUUCUACCUCUAAAAUUCAAAAGAUUAGAGUGGCUUGUUGACCGACUGUGGACAAGGGCUAACGGUUAACCCAAGGGUAAGAGCAAACGGGGACAUUUUAAUUCAAGGUUGAGGCCUCUCUGGGACAAGAGGAAAAACUUGAGAACAGCAAGGCAUAUGAAUCAGACUUGUAAAUUUCAGUCUUAAGGUCUCACCUUCACACAUGCUAACAGGGCAUUGAGCAAAUUCUCCUUUGGGAGAUAGUCAAAACCAACAACCAUUACAGAACUCUCAAAAUUAACCAAAGGCUUUGGUUUAUUUUUAAAGUGUAAUUUGCAGUAUGUUUCUACUCUGUUCUUAGUCUUAGAAAUUUCCAUUGAGAGAUUCUUUAUACUGAGUAUUAGAUUUUUUUUUACAGGAGAAGCCAGGUUAUGGAUUUCCCGAAAAGAAGACAUCCAUUCAUUUGUUACCUGUGCACACACUCCAGAGCACAUACCUUGAACUGAGCCUCCGGUGGCCCAGUGAUAAUCACCAUCCUCACUUUAGCAUCUGGUGCUUCAGCUGGAGCGAUCUGUAACAGACCCAGUAACGGGUUAUGACACUUUCAGGUGCCACCAAUAGAAAUGGUACACCAACCAGCCUGUCAUUUGCACAUGACUUACUGAAAUGCAGAAUGAAAGCCUUCUGGAAGGUAGUUACAUGAAGCAGUGAUUAAUGUGGAUUCAUUAGUUAUGGCUCCUGCCGUAUACUGUGUACUUACACUGUGCCUGGCCCUAAUGUAAAAGUCCAGAUGCAGCCUCUACCUAACCCUCACUAUUUCCUGACGAGGUACUGCCUCAUGGAGAGGCCAAAGGCUGGAGAAGGUGAGUCACCUGGCCCAUGAUCACACAGUCCAGUGAAGCUGGAGGGAGAGCUGGGUCUGGCUCCACCAUCACAUUCCUUGUCACUACACCAGUGGGUGCUCAAAGGGUGGUUCUUGGCCCACGCGCAUCACAACACCCUGGGCCUCCUGUAUGUGCAAGAAACUGCUAGGUUCCCAGUCUAAGCCUAUCAGUACAUUCCCCCAAAGUACACUCGCUGGACUAACAUAUGGAAUAAACUAACAUUAAUUUGGCAGAAGAAAAGUAAACUCAGACUCUUCUAUUUUGGCAGAGCGUGUGAAAUGACACAAAAAGCCUAGGCUAGGGAAUUGUUGCAGAGACUGUUGAAGGGGGAGGAAACCAGCCCUUAGUAAGAAAGGAUUUGGGGAGUUGGCUGGUAGGAAGUGUUUUAAAAGAAAAAAAUUUGCUAGGUAUUUGCUGUGCAAGAAGCAAUUCCCUAUAGUAAAUAAUGAGAACAGGAAGCAAAAAAUACAAUAAAAGCCAUCCCAACUACCACUCAAUAUGAUCACUAUCAAUUACUUAUAAUCUAGUAGGCCCUUCUCCACACCUUCAUAAUCAAAACAAUGUUUUUUACUUUUAAUAGACUCAUGCUUCCUCCCUCAAAAUAAAGCUAACAUUUCUGUUACUUAGACCCAAAUUAAUACUAUUGCUACUUUAUUGCUGGGCACUAAUUGUGAGUCAGUAAAACAAGCCAAUAAUUACUUCCUUUUAGACCACACUCUUAGGAUUAUUCACAGGAAACCCCAAAAAGAAGGUAUCAUUCUUCCAUCUUUCUGACUAAGGUUUCCUUUUUUUAAAAAGGAUCUUUGUCAACACUGGUGAUAGAAGGCUGGGGCUGAGGACACUUGUACACUGAGGUUAGGAGUACAAAUUGCUACAAUCUCUCAAAAGCCUGAAAAAAGCACAUGCCCUGUGACUCACCAAACCCACUUCUGUAGACUUACGUUAAAGGAUAAGGUUAUAUAUGACAAUUUGACCAAAAGAACUUUGUCUAUCCCUGUGCAGGUUAAAUUAGGAACAAUCUUAAUGUCCAGUAAGUUAACACAAAUGAUUAUGGUUUGGUAAUACCAAAUAUAUGCCUAUUAAAGUAAGUACAUAUAUGGAAAUUUACAUUAUGGAAAUGUAGCGAAGUGUUAGGAGUGCUGAUGAAUCUUUCAGAUUAUGCAUGUUUCAGACUUUUUGGAAACAAAAAUAUUUUAACCUCAUCAUAAAACCUCCAUUAAAGCCAGAAAGAAAAAGAGCCAAACGUCUAAAUACCCAGUUCUUCUUGUUCAUGAAAUGUUCGUCGCAGUUUUUCCAAAACAAAGCUGCUAGGUUCUUUUUGCAUGUGUGAGCAUGUUUUACAGAUUAACUCAGUAAUCAGGAAACUAACAGCAUAGUAAAGUUAGUUCACCCCUUGGUCUUUUGUCAUGUCUUUUCCUUUACCCAUUUAUUUAUUUUGGCUGCAUUUUCUGCUCACGUUAUUUUGUUAUCUUUUGCUACAAGAGAGAAUAUGAGGGCUUUCCUGUGUGUUUUGCUUUUUUAUUAACUGUGUAGUUUACAUACAGUAACGCUCACUCCUUUGGUACCAAAUACAUAGUUGUAAAUACCACCACAAUCAACAUAAAAACAGCUUCUGUCACUCAAAAUUUCCUCAUGCUGCCUUUGUUUUCAACCCCUUCACCUCCAACUCCUAGCAACCACUGAUUUUUUUUUUCUCAAUUUCCAUAGUUCUCUUUUCCAGAAUUUUCAUAAGUGGAAUCAUACAGUAUGUGGCCUUUUGAGUCUUCUUUCUCUUAGCAUAAUACAUGUGAUUCACUCAAGUUGUUUUAUGUAUCAAUAGUUCCCUCCUUUUUACUGCUAAGUAAUUAUUAUAUAGACGGGCCACAGUUUAUGCAUUUGCCACUGAUGAACAUUUGCUGCUUCCCCAUUUCCCAGUUACAAAUAAAGAUACUAUAAACAUUUGAGUGCAGUGUGGUUUUUUUGGUACUAUAUUCAAAUUAAAAAUUUCAUUAAAUAUUUAUAAAAUUGGACUUCCCUGAUGGCACAGUGGUUAAGAAUCCGCCUGCCAAUGCAGGGGACACAGGUUCAAGCCCUGUUCUGGGAAGAUUCCCACAUGCCGCAGAGCAACUAAGCACGUGCACCACAACUACUGAGCCUGUGUGCCGCAACUACUGAAGCCCGCGCGCCUGGAGCCUGUGCUCCGCAACAAAAGAAGCCACUGCAAUGAGAAGCCCGCGUACCGCAACGAAGAAUAGCCCCCGCUUGCUGCAACUAGAGAAAGCCUGUGCGCAGCAACGAAUACCCAAUGCAGCCAAAAAUAAAAUUAUUUAUAUAUAUAUAUUUAUAAAAUGUAACCAAAAUAAACCCCCCAAUAGACUGAUGUUUUCCUGAAGAAAGCUAUGACUUUUAUCAAGCCUUUGUCAAUUUGUAUAUUCCUUAAAAGGACCACAGCCUUGAUUGUUCGGGCACUGAACAGUGUCAUUUCGGAGUGUGAGGGACCAAAGCCACGCCCAGGGAAGAUGAGCUAGAAGGAAUAUAUAUCCAGGAAUGCGGUGGGGCAGAACCACCAUUCUAACGCCAAAUCGCGUACCUGCAGACUACUUUUUCUGGAGAGAGAAUUUAACUUACCUUGUUUAAGCUAGUGUUGUUUGGAGUUCUCUGUCACACACUUAUGUAACCCCAAUAUAGACUGCCACAUUCAAUUCAAAUUACAGAGUGGCAGGAAGACUCACAUUUCUGUAACUCGCUGUCCUUAAAGCACCAGGAGAGCCACAGCUGGCAGAACAGUACCUUAAUAGAAGCUCCUGCAAAGCGAGAAAGCUGUUUGAUGUGUUGCCCCUGCUUGCCGAUGAUGGCGCCGACAGACAGGGCUGGGAUGAACAGAUGGACAGUCUCUGUUUCUGACUGCUGUUGGAAAAGAAAGACAGGACAUACAUGCUUACUGGAUACAAAUCAGGCUGUAUCGCUGGCAUAGGGAGAGGGGCAUUCUCAUACUGUUAGAAAUAUUAGUAUAGUUUUAGGAAAAACCACCACAGUAAGUUGAUACGAGUUUACCUAACAGGUCGAGAAGAUCUCACAUUCAUCCUGAAAGUGUUAGCAUUUAAAACAUCAGUUUUCUCUGUACAGUUUUUCCUCAAAUUUACAGAUUUAAAACAGAUUUUGUGCCACUUAAUAUUGGUCCACCAAAUGACACCACCGCUCUUACCACACAAAUUCCUAGUGGCAGUAACAGCUCCCUCUUCUCCCUGUAAGCUCAGCGUGGAGGCAGAGAGCACGGAGCCCUGAGCACUACAGACCUCCAGAGGGGCCCUGAUGCUCAGCGGCAGCCGUUCCACUUCUUUGUCCCUCCACACACCCUCAACAGAAGGCUGUUCCACAUGACGUCAUUUACUCACACUAUUUGGUAGGAAUUUU
Non-coding RNA from Globicephala melas (long-finned pilot whale), 7329 nucleotides. NCBI's taxonomy places the organism in Eukaryota, Metazoa, Chordata, Mammalia, Artiodactyla, Delphinidae. The record is from RefSeq and is a predicted model, not a curated record.